UGGAGCAAUCCAUGAGUAGAGUGGCAAACGGGUGAGUAACACGUGGGUGACCUGCCUUCGAGCGGGGGAUAACGUCCCGAAAGGGACGCUAAUACCGCAUAACAUCCUGCCUUUUAAGAGGUGGAGAUCAAAGCCGGGGAUUCGCAAGAACCUGGCACUUGAAGAGGGGCCCGCGCCUGAUUAGCUAGUUGGUGGGGUAAUGGCCUACCAAGGCAACGAUCAGUAUCCGGCCUGAGAGGGCGGACGGACACACUGGGACUGAGACACGGCCCAGACUCCUACGGGAGGCAGCAGUGGGGAAUUGUUCGCAAUGGGCGCAAGCCUGACGACGCAACGCCGCGUGGAGGAUGAAGACCUUCGGG
Molecule: ribosomal RNA, 362 nt
Filed under: uncultured bacterium
Lineage: Bacteria
Description: bacterial SSU rRNA
Rfam family: Bacterial small subunit ribosomal RNA
Source: RNAcentral